Molecule: long non-coding RNA, 405 nt
Organism: Talpa occidentalis (Iberian mole)
Lineage: Eukaryota; Metazoa; Chordata; Mammalia; Eulipotyphla; Talpidae
Exons: 4
Source: RefSeq, a predicted model, not a curated record
AUACUAACUGAAGAUGUUCUCUCAGUGUUAAGCACCAUGAUAUACCUGACCAAUUUUGCAACAAAGGAAAAGCCAAUUGUGGUAUAACAGUUUUACUAGCAGGGUCAUUUAGCAAUGCCAGGAGACAUUUUGGAUUGUCACAUCCAGGGAGUGGGAAGGAUGCUACUGGCCUCUAGUGGGAAAUUGAAGGAAAAUAUGACUGGUGGGAUGGAAGACAGGGCACUGAGCAGGGAUUCUGUAUUCUCGCCGACUGGAGAACUGUGAUCAUGGAAAGUUACUGAUAAGCAACUUCACUUCCCUGGAGAAGUAAAAGAGCAGCAGUGGGAGUUGUUACAUUAAUGAAUGUGUCUCCACUGGCAAGAAGAUGUCAGCUGAGAAGACCAGUGUUUCCUUCAACACUACCAC